GUUUAGCCCCGGGUGAAGUGGCAUCCUUUUUUUGUUGAAAAAAUUAGUUACUAUUUCUAUUCUGGUUUGUAAAGAAUUGAUGUGUUCUCUAAGUCUUAAAACAAAAAAAGAUACAACGUAACACGGGAAGUGGG
Molecule: small RNA, 134 nt
Filed under: Flavobacterium indicum GPTSA100-9 = DSM 17447
Lineage: Bacteria; Pseudomonadati; Bacteroidota; Flavobacteriia; Flavobacteriales; Flavobacteriaceae
Description: Flavo-1 RNA
Rfam family: Flavo-1 RNA
Source: Rfam by way of RNAcentral